UCCGGUUUGUCACCGGCAGUCUCCUUAGAGUUCCCACCAUUACGUGCUCUCACCAGGCUUCCGGACAUGUCAAGGGUAGGUAAGGUUGUUCGCGUUGCAUCGAAUUAAUCCACAUCAUCCACCGCUUGUGCGGGUCCCCGUCAAUUCCUUUGAGUUUUAACCUUGCGGCCGUACUCCCCAGGCGGUCAACUUCACGCGUUAGCUACGGUACCAAGGAAUCGCUUCCCCAACACCCAGUUGACAUCGUUUAGGGCGUGGACUAC
RNAcentral lists this unclassified non-coding RNA (263 nucleotides) under uncultured Gammaproteobacteria bacterium. RNAcentral describes it as "contains 16S-23S intergenic spacer region". Lineage: Bacteria; Pseudomonadati; Pseudomonadota; Gammaproteobacteria. The record is from RNAcentral.